AUUGAACGCUGGCGGCAUGCCUUACACAUGCAAGUCGAACGGCAGCACGGGGCAACCUGGUGGCGAGUGGCGAACGGGUGAGUAAUGCAUCGGAACGUACCUUUCAGUGGGGGAUAACGUAGCGAAAGUUACGCUAAUACCGCAUAUUCUGUGAGCAGGAAAGCAGGGGAUCGCAAGACCUUGCGCUGAUUGAGCGGCCGAUGUCAGAUUAGCUAGUUGGUGAGGUAAAGGCUCACCAAGGCGACGAUCGGUAGCGGGUCUGAGAGGAUGAUCCGCCACAAUGGAACGGGGACACGGUCCAGACCCCUACGGGAGGCAGGAGUGGGGAAUUUUGGACAAUGGGGGCAACCCUGAUCCAGCCAUCCCGCGUGAGUGAAGAAGGCCUUCGGGUUGGAAAGCUCUUUCGGCCGGGAAGAAAUCGCACGGGCUAAUACCCUGUGUGGAUGACGGUACCGGAAUAAGAAGCACCGGCUAACUACGUGCCAGCAGCCGCCGUAA
Molecule: ribosomal RNA, 498 nt
Filed under: uncultured bacterium
Lineage: Bacteria
Description: partial 16S ribosomal RNA
Rfam family: Bacterial small subunit ribosomal RNA
Source: RNAcentral